This 403-nucleotide ribosomal RNA is filed under the name uncultured bacterium. RNAcentral describes it as "bacterial SSU rRNA". It matches the Rfam family "Bacterial small subunit ribosomal RNA", at positions 30 to 432 of the family's 1533-position model. The record is from RNAcentral.
AUUGAACGCUGGCGGCAGGCCUAACACAUGCAAGUCGAACGGUAACAGGAAGAAGCUUGCUUCUUUGCUGACGAGUGGCGGACGGGUGAGUAAUGUCUGGGAAACUGCCUGAUGGAGGGGGAUAACUACUGGAAACGGUAGCUAAUACCGCAUAACGUCGCAAGACCAAAAAGGGGACCUUCGGGCCUCUUGCCAUCGGAUGUGCCCAGAUGGGAUUAGCUAGUAGGUGGGGUAACGGCUCACCUAGGCGACGAUCCCUAGCUGGUCUGAGAGGAUGACCAGCCACACUGGAACUGAGACACGGUCCAGACUCCUACGGGAGGCAGCAGUGGGAAUAUUGCACAAUGGGCGCAAGCCUGAUGCAGCCAUGCCGCGUGUAUGAAGAAGGCCUCGGUUGUAAGUA